UAUCAGUGUCCGUACAUCAAGCUUGGCUUCCUUCCUUCCGUGUAGUCGGUGGCGGGGACGCGCAGACGUGAAGUGUCUUGCUGGCCGUGA
Molecule: ribosomal RNA, 90 nt
Filed under: Phytophthora cryptogea
Lineage: Eukaryota; Oomycota; Peronosporomycetes; Peronosporales; Peronosporaceae
Description: 5.8S ribosomal RNA
Source: RNAcentral